Molecule: ribosomal RNA, 484 nt
Filed under: uncultured bacterium
Lineage: Bacteria
Description: partial 16S ribosomal RNA
Rfam family: Bacterial small subunit ribosomal RNA
Source: RNAcentral
AUUGAACGCUGGCGGCAGGCCUAACACAUGCAAGUCGAGCGGAUGAAGGGAGCUUGCUCCUGGAUUCAGCGGCGGACGGGUGAGUAAUGCCUAGGAAUCUGCCUGGUAGUGGGGGAUAACGUCCGGAAACGGGCGCUAAUACCGCAUACGUCCUGAGGGAGGAAGUGGGGGAUCUUCGGACCUCACGCUAUCAGAUGAGCCUAGGUCGGAUUAGCUAGUUGGUGGGGUAAAGGCCUACCAAGGCGACGAUCCGUAACUGGUCUGAGAGGAUGAUCAGUCACACUGGAACUGAGACACGGUCCAGACUCCUACGGGAGGCAGCAGUGGGGAAUAUUGGACAAUGGGCGAAAGCCUGAUCCAGCCAUGCCGCGUGUGUGAAGAAGGUCUUCGGAUUGUAAAGCACUUUAAGUUGGGAGGAAGGGCAGUAAGUUAAUACCUUGCUGCUUUGACGUUACCAACAGAAUAAGCACCGGCUAACUUCGUG